This 75-nucleotide transfer RNA is filed under the name Veillonella sp. CAG:933. Its description in RNAcentral is "transfer RNA-Lys(TTT)". It matches the Rfam family "tRNA". From Rfam's summary of the family: Transfer RNA (tRNA) molecules are approximately 80 nucleotides in length. Their secondary structure includes four short double-helical elements and three loops (D, anti-codon, and T loops). Lineage: Bacteria; Bacillati; Bacillota; Negativicutes; Veillonellales; Veillonellaceae. The record is from RNAcentral.
UGUCUAGUAGCUUAACCGGAUAAAGCCCUGGAUUUUAUCAGGAGAUUGUGGGUUCGAAUCCCACCUAGAUAACAA